AGGAAUCUUCCGCAAUGGGCGCAAGCCUGAGGGAGAGACGCCGCUUGGAGGAGGAAGCCUUUCGGGGUGUAAACUCCUGAGCCCGGGACGAAAUCCGUGAUGAGGGGGCUGACGGUACCGGGGUAAUAGCGCCGGCCAACUCCGUGCCAGCAGCCGCGGUAAUAGCGGAGGGCGCGAGCGUUACCCGGAUUUACUGGGCGUAAAGGGCGUGUAGGCGGCUUGGGGCGUCCCAUGUGAAAGGCCACGGCUCAACCGUGGAGGAGCGUGGGAUACGCUCAGGCUAGACGGUGGGAGAGGGUGGUGGAAUUCCCGGAGUAGCGGUGAAAUGCGCAGAUACCGGGAGGAACGCCGAUGGCGAAGGCAGCCACCUGGCUCACUUGUGACGCUGAGGCGCGAAAGCGUGGGGAGCAAACCGGAUUAGAUACCCGGGUAGUCCACGCCCUAAACGAUGCGCGCUAGGUCUCUGGGUUAUCUGGGGGCCGAAGCCAACGCGUAAGCGCCCGCCGGAGCGCAGUAAGG
This 519-nucleotide ribosomal RNA is filed under the name Thermus sp. Y1. RNAcentral's name for it is "bacterial SSU rRNA". It matches the Rfam family "Bacterial small subunit ribosomal RNA", at positions 357 to 873 of the family's 1533-position model. Lineage: Bacteria; Thermotogati; Deinococcota; Deinococci; Thermales; Thermaceae. The record is from RNAcentral.